AGGAGGAACAACCCCAGUGGCGGGGCCAGCUCUGGAGCCCUGGAUUCAGCCCCCGCAGUAACUCCGGAGCUCUCCGUCUGCAGGGUCUGGAGGCUCCGGGGCGGG
Canis lupus familiaris (dog) is the source of this 105-nucleotide non-coding RNA. Lineage: Eukaryota; Metazoa; Chordata; Mammalia; Carnivora; Canidae. The record is from Rfam.